Molecule: ribosomal RNA, 419 nt
Filed under: bacterium
Lineage: Bacteria
Description: partial 16S ribosomal RNA
Rfam family: Bacterial small subunit ribosomal RNA
Source: RNAcentral
UGGGGGAUAUUGCACAAUGGGCGAAAGCCUGAUGCAGCGACGCCGCUUGGGGGAUUAAGUCCUUCGGGUUGUAAACUUCUUUUGCUCUGAACAAGGCAUGCUAAUGGGUGUGUUGAGUGUAGGGGUUGAUUAGCGCCGGCUAACUACGUGCCAGCAGCCGCGGUAAUACGUAGGGCGCGAGCGUUGUCCGGAAUUAUUGGGCGUAAAGGGCUUGUAGGUGGCUGGUUGCGUCUGUCGUGAAAGCUAAUGGCUUAACUGUGGGUUUGCGGUGGGUACGGGCUGGCUUGAGAGCAGUAGGGGAGGCUGGAAGUACUGGUGUAGCGGUGGAAUGCGCAGAUAUCAGGAGGAAUACCGGUGGCGAAGGCGGGUCUCUAGGAAGUUACUGACACUGAGGAGCGAAAGAAUGGGGAGCGAACAGG